This 468-nucleotide ribosomal RNA is filed under the name uncultured bacterium. RNAcentral describes it as "partial 16S ribosomal RNA". It matches the Rfam family "Bacterial small subunit ribosomal RNA", at positions 28 to 507 of the family's 1533-position model. The record is from RNAcentral.
GACGAACGCUGGCGGCGUGCUUAACACAUGCAAGUCGAACGGAAAGGCCCUGCUUUUGUGGGGUGCUCGAGUGGCGAACGGGUGAGUAACACGUGAGUAACCUGCCCUUGACUUUGGGAUAACUUUAGGAAACUGGGGCUAAUACCGGAUAGGAGCUCCUGCUGCAUGGUGGGGGUUGGAAAGUUUCGGCGGUUGGGGAUGGACUCGCGGCUUAUCAGCUUGUUGGUGGGGUAGUGGCUUACCAAGGCUUUGACGGGUAGCCGGCCUGAGAGGGUGACCGGCCGCAUUGGGACUGAGAUACGGCCCAGACUCCUACGGGAGGCAACAGUGGGGAAUAUUGCACAAUGGACGGAAGCCUGAUGCAGCAACGCCGCGUGCGGGAUGACGGCCUUCGGGUUGUAAACCGCUUUCGCCUGUAACGAAGCGUGAGUGACGGUAAUGGGUAAAGAAGCACCGGCUAACUACGUG